GGGGUGAAGGGGGUGGGGCCCAAUCAGGGCGGGGUUGAAGGGGGCGUGACCAUGUAGCUGUUACUGCUGUCAAUCAUUGCUCUCACCGCUGUCACCGCACACCUGAGCGCUUCUGGCAGGUUCCACCCCCAGAGCAUGACAGGGAAAUUCCCUGCUUCAGUUAGUCAAAAACUAACUAAAAACAAAGGAGAGCUCUGUCCCACUCUUCACUACAGGACACAGUCCAGGAGAAAAAGCAAUGAAACUCCUUUCGCUAUGUUUUGACAACAACGGUCUCAAACAUUUCCACUGCUGCUUCUUCCCCCCCUUCACUCUCAAAGCCAGACUUAAAGGUACAAAACUUAUUUCUGGGCUACAGACAAAUGAGGAUAGAAUUCAACAUCACAAAGUCACUCCAGGACAACUUUUAAAACCUUUUAAAGUCCAACCAGCUGCCAUGGGCAGGGAUCUCUUCAACAUCUUCAACCAGAGCAAGCUGCUCAAAGCCCCGUCCAAUGUGGCUCUGGACGUUUGCAAGGAUGAUGCAUCCAAGACCUCCCUAGGCAGCCUGUUCCUUGCUUUCACCUCUCUCCGUGUAAAAAAUCUCUUCCUCAUGGUGGGAUCUCUCGGAUGAUAGCGUGAGGAGCAGCAGGCCAGUGCAGCUCAUGGAAGGAAGAGACUCAUUUCAUGGCACUGCUGGCCUCGGCAGAAUUAGCAUGGCUCAGAAAGGCCAGGAGGCCCAGGAGCUUGGACUGAGCCAGCAGUUCCCUUCUCACAUGUUCCCUCAACAGCAACCUUCCUCAAGAGCCCCUGAGGAGUGGCAAGAGGCAAAAAAACACGAAGAACGACCCCGGAGCGGCCUUGAAAAAGCAGGAAGCCCCGGAGAUGUGUCCGGGACAAGAGCAGAAACCGCGGCAGGCGGCGGCACGGGGACGUUCCCGAGCGCUCCGCUCCGCAUCCCUCUGUCCAGGCUCCGCGAAAUAGAAGAGGAGCUGCUGUGCGCGGAUGAGGCGGACAAUGAGUUCGAGUCUGGCGAGCCAGGGCCAGCGGCAGGGCCAGCAGCAGCGGCUCAGCCUCCCGGCCGAGCCCCAGCGCUGGGGGACAGCCGGGGCCUCGGCGCUGGCGCGGGGCUGCGGGCGGCGCUGCGGGAAGGCAGCGCUCGCCCCCCCCCCCCCCCCCCCCCCCCCCCCCCCCCCCCCCCCCCCCCCCCCCCCCCCCCCCCCC
This 1203-nucleotide long non-coding RNA is filed under the name Ficedula albicollis (Collared flycatcher). RNAcentral's name for it is "lncRNA (ENSFALG00000008127.2)". Lineage: Eukaryota; Metazoa; Chordata; Aves; Passeriformes; Muscicapidae. The record is from RNAcentral.